RNAcentral lists this ribosomal RNA (460 nucleotides) under uncultured bacterium. RNAcentral's name for it is "partial 16S ribosomal RNA". It matches the Rfam family "Bacterial small subunit ribosomal RNA", at positions 338 to 795 of the family's 1533-position model. The record is from RNAcentral.
CCUACGGGAGGCAGCAGUGAAGAAUAUUGGUCAAUGGACGAGAGUCUGAACCAGCCAAGUAGCGUGAAGGAUGACUGCCCUACGGGUUGUAAACUUCUUUUAUACAGGAAUAAAACGAGGCACGUGUGCCUUUUUGUAUGUACUUUAUGAAUAAGGAUCGGCUAACUCCGUGCCAGCAGCCGCGGUAAUACGGAGGAUCCGAGCGUUAUCCGGAUUUAUUGGGUUUAAAGGGAGCGUAGAUGGGUUGUUAAGUCAGUUGUGAAAGUUUGCGGCUCAACCGUAGAAUUGCAAUUGAUACUGGCAGUCUUGAGUACAGUUGAGGUAGGCGGAAUUCGUGGUGUAGCGGUGAAAUGCUUAGAUAUCACGAAGAACCCCGAUUGCGAAGGCAGCUUACUAAACUGUGACUGACAUUGAGGCUCGAAAGUGUGGGUAUCAAACAGGAUUAGAUACCCUGGUAGUC